UGAUCCAAUAUGACAUGAACCACAUCACAUAAUACUUGUUUUGAUUUAUUUUUUAUGUGUAUAGAAUAAUUUAAAUCAUGUCAUUCCAUAGCCAAAUCCAUUUCCAAGCACAUGCAAUACCCAAUGGGGGUAACAAGAGUGUUUGCCGACGCCUUAUAGUGGGAUCCAAAAACAUUAUACACUAUAAAUAAGUAACCUCUUUAGGCUAAGGGUGAUUGUACCCUUAGCUUUGGGUGUGUUUCAAAAAAAAAAAAAAGAUUAUAUGAUGCAAUAUAAGUUGUAAAUAAUGCAAUCAUGGGUUGUACUGAGGUUUUGGAAAGCAAUCUUUACUGACUAAAAACACAUCUUCCUUGCUAUCUUCUCAAGAAACGAAACAAAUAAAGAGAGAAAGAUGGAUGUCUCUCAUCACCGCAAACUACCACAAACCACCGUAAACUACAUCCUCCACCUUACACCUAUGGUUUGUACACAUUACAACUAGGGUUCUACAAAGAUGCCGAAAUCCAAGAGUUUGAGCAGGGAAAAGACGUAAGUAAAGGGGAUCGAGCGAUGUGCUCUGUUGGUAGCCUGCGGUGGUUUUGGAUGCUGCUUCUUCUACGAUUUUGUUUGUUUAGAUUGUUUGUGCAAAACUGGAUGCCUCUUGUCGUCGUUCUUUGCCGAUUAUUACUCAUCUUAUGAAGAUGGAUGAAGUAUAGAUUGUUUUUUUAUUGGAAUGCCGAUGACGAUGAUUUGGAUAGCGGAAGAUAAAUUAAGAUUGGACACCUUGGUCACAUCAGAGGCUAGGCACGCAUCGCAUGAUGCAGUGAUUCUACCCGUAAAAUUCGCACACUUUUUGUUAAUUACUUUUCUUUUUAUUUAAAAUUUGAUGAUGCGGUCAAGAAAAUGAAUUGCAAAAAUUGUUUAGAGAUGAUGAUGCUUUAGAGCUCUUAGUGGCGUGUGAGUGAUAUUGCUUUAGAACGUGUUCUUAGUGGCGAGUGAGUGAUAAUUGCUUUUGCUGAUUGUUAUGGUGUGUUAAUCAUUUAAACAACAUUCAUUAUAUAACAAUAAUGUUGAAAAAAAGCAGAGUGUUUGAUGAUUUUGAGAUUCAAAGGAAAGUCACUAGGAAGCGGAAAUGGAAUCAAAGAGAUGAUGAUGGGGAGAUGGUUUCAAAGAAAAACGAACUCAGGAAGAGAUUGUGAAGUUGAAGAAGAAGCAUUGACAAGGGAGGAGCAAUAAUUAUUUUAGAAGGCGAAUUAGAAAGCAUAGUAUAUUAGUAUUAAUAAAAAUACAGGUUGGACUCUAAAUUUUUAUGGAUAUUACAUAGCAUUAUUGGAUUUUGUAAAGAGAACUCUUGAAACAGUAUGUGUUAAUUUUCAAUUUUAAACAUGCUACAAUGUGCAAUUCUUUGACCAA
Long non-coding RNA from Helianthus annuus (common sunflower), 1392 nucleotides. RefSeq lists it as uncharacterized. NCBI's taxonomy places the organism in Eukaryota, Viridiplantae, Streptophyta, Magnoliopsida, Asterales, Asteraceae. The transcript has 6 exons. The record is from RefSeq and is a predicted model, not a curated record.